Myotis davidii is the source of this 77-nucleotide long non-coding RNA. RefSeq lists it as uncharacterized. Lineage: Eukaryota; Metazoa; Chordata; Mammalia; Chiroptera; Vespertilionidae. The transcript is spliced from 3 exons. The record is from RefSeq and is a predicted model, not a curated record.
GUAAGGUUUAUCAGGCACUCAGAAAUGAUUGGCUAAGAAUGAGCCAGAGCUGCCUGGAGAUUCAUUGUUACAGAGUG